UACAUCGGAACGUGCCUAGUAGUGGGGGAUAACUACUCGAAAGAGUAGCUAAUACCGCAUGAGAUCUACGGAUGAAAGCAGGGGACCUUUGGGCCUUGUGCUACUAGAGCGGCUGAUGGCAGAUUAGGUAGUUGGUGGGGUAAAGGCUUACCAAGCCUGCGAUCUGUAGCUGGUCUGAGAGGACGACCAGCCACACUGGGACUGAGACACGGCCCAGACUCCUACGGGAGGCAGCAGUGGGGAAUUUUGGACAAUGGGCGAAAGCCUGAUCCAGCAAUGCCGCGUGCAGGAUGAAGGCCCUCGGGUUGUAAACUGCUUUUGUACGGAACGAAAAGCCUGGGGCUAAUAUCCCCGGGUCAUGANNNNNGUACCG
This 373-nucleotide ribosomal RNA is filed under the name Comamonas sp. Its description in RNAcentral is "bacterial SSU rRNA". It matches the Rfam family "Bacterial small subunit ribosomal RNA", at positions 114 to 480 of the family's 1533-position model. The record is from RNAcentral. Lineage: Bacteria; Pseudomonadati; Pseudomonadota; Betaproteobacteria; Burkholderiales; Comamonadaceae.